GAUGAACGCUGGCGGCGUGCCUAAUACAUGCAAGUCGAGCGGACACACGGGGAGCUUGCUCCGCUGACGUUCGCGGCGCACGGGUGAGUCACACGUGGAUAACCUCCCUAUAAGACUGGUAUAACGUCGAGAAACCGGAUCUAAUCCCGGAUAAUAUAUUUAACCGCAUGGUUCAAUAGUUAAAGACUUUUUUGCUGUCACUUCUCGAUCGUUCCGUGCCGCAUUAGCUAGUUGGUAAGGUAACGGCUUACCCAGGCAACGAUGCGUCGCCGACCUGAGAGGGUGAUCGGCCACCCUGGAACUGAGACACGGUCCAGACUCCUACGGGAGGCAGCAGUAGGGAAUCUUCCGCAAUGGGCGAAAGCUUGACGGAGAAACGCCGCGUGAGGGAUGAAGGUCUUCGGAUCGUAAAACUCUGUUAUUAGGGAAGAACAAAUGUGUAAGUAACUAGGCACGUCUUGACGGUACCUAAGCAGAAAGCCACGGCUAACUACGUG
This 497-nucleotide ribosomal RNA is filed under the name uncultured bacterium. RNAcentral describes it as "partial 16S ribosomal RNA". It matches the Rfam family "Bacterial small subunit ribosomal RNA", at positions 28 to 507 of the family's 1533-position model. The record is from RNAcentral.